Molecule: small nuclear RNA, 102 nt
Organism: Otolemur garnettii (small-eared galago)
Lineage: Eukaryota; Metazoa; Chordata; Mammalia; Primates; Galagidae
Source: Ensembl
GUGCUUUCUUUGGCAGCACAUAUACUAAAAUUGGAACGAUAUAGAGAUGUAUGAUCCCUGCGCAAGGAUGACACGCAGAUUCGUGAAGCGUUCCAUAUUUAA